CCUACGGGAGGCAGCAGUGGGGGAUAUUGCACAAUGGGCGGAACCCUGAAGCAGCGACGCCGCGUGGGUGAAGGAGCGCUUCUGCGCGUUAAGCCCUAUCGGCAGGGAAGAAGGAGGACGGUACCUGACUAAGAAGCCCCGGCUAACUACGUGCCAGCAGCCGCGGUCAUACGUAGGGGCCCAGCGUUAUCCGGAUUUACUGGGUGUAAAGGGGGCGCAGACGGGAGCGCAAGCCAGGGGUGAAAGCUCGGGGCCCAACCCCGAGACUGCGCUUGGAACUGCGCGGCUGGAGUGCAGGAGGGGCAGGCGGAAUGCCUGGUGUAGCGGUGAAAUGCGUAGAUAUCAGGAAGAACACCGGUGGCGAAGGCAGCCUGCUGGACUGCGACUGACGUUGAGGCCCGAAAGCGUGGGUAGCAAACAGGAUUAGAUACCCCAGUAGUC
RNAcentral lists this ribosomal RNA (441 nucleotides) under uncultured bacterium. RNAcentral's name for it is "partial 16S ribosomal RNA". It matches the Rfam family "Bacterial small subunit ribosomal RNA", at positions 338 to 795 of the family's 1533-position model. The record is from RNAcentral.